GAUGAAGAACGUAGCGAAAUGCGAUACUUGGUGUGAAUUGCAGAAUCCCGUGAACCAUCGAGUCUUUGAACGCAAGUUGCGCCCGAGGCCUCCUGGUCGAGGGCACGUCUGCCUGGGUGUCACGCAUCGUCGCCCCCUCUCCCCUCGGCUCGCGAGGGCGGGGGCGGAUACUGGUCUCCCGCGCGCUCCCGCUCGCGGUUGGCCCAAAAUCGAGUCCUCGGCGACGGUCGCCACGACGAGCGGUGGUUGAGAGACCCUCGGACACGGUCGUGCGCGCGCCUGUCGCCCCCGGGAUCUCCUGGACCCUCGGGCAUCGAGAUUCUAGGAUGCUCUCGUUGCGACCCCAGGUCAGGCGGGACUACCCGCUGAGUUUAAGCAUAUCAAUAAGCGGAGGA
This 395-nucleotide unclassified non-coding RNA is filed under the name soil metagenome. RNAcentral's name for it is "partial contains 5.8S ribosomal RNA, internal transcribed spacer 2, and large subunit ribosomal RNA". The stretch from base 1 to 122 matches the Rfam family "5.8S ribosomal RNA", at positions 35 to 154 of the family's 154-position model. The record is from RNAcentral.